RNAcentral lists this ribosomal RNA (560 nucleotides) under Acidobacteriota bacterium. RNAcentral describes it as "bacterial SSU rRNA". It matches the Rfam family "Bacterial small subunit ribosomal RNA", at positions 1 to 540 of the family's 1533-position model. The record is from RNAcentral. Lineage: Bacteria; Pseudomonadati; Acidobacteriota.
UCUAACGAGAGUUUGAUCCUGGCUCAGAAUCAACGCUGGCGGCGUGCCUCAGACAUGCAAGUCGAACGCGAAAGUCUCCUUCGGGGGACAAGUAGAGUGGCGCACGGGUGAGUAACACGUAGGUAAUCUACCUUCGGAUGGGGAAUAACAACCGGAAACGGUUGCUAAUACCGCAUAAUGCAGCGGCACCUAAUGGUGACAGUUGUUAAAGCGGGGGAUCGAAAGACCUCGCGUCUGAAGAGGAGCCUGCGGCGGAUUAGCUUGUUGGUAAGGUAACGGCUUACCAAGGCGACGAUCCGUAGCCGGCCUGAGAGGGCGGUCGGCCACACUGACACUGACAUACGGGUCAGACUCCUACGGGAGGCAGCAGUCGGGAAUUUUGGGCAAUGGGCGAAAGCCUGACCCAGCAACGCCGCGUGAAGGAUGAAAUCCCUCGGGAUGUAAACUUCGCAAGAACGGGAAGAAUAAGCCUGCGUAAAUAUCGCAGGUGAUGACGGUACCGUUUGUAAGCUCCGGCUAACUCCGUGCCAGCAGCCGCGGUAAUACGGGGGGAGCAAGCG